GGCUGGUCCAAAUGCAGUGGUUACAGCUAACUGAUCACAACCAGUUACAGAUUUCUCUGUUUCUUUUCCACUCCUACUGCUUCACUUUGCUAGCCUGGA
RNAcentral lists this Y RNA (99 nucleotides) under Cebus imitator (Panamanian white-faced capuchin). Its description in RNAcentral is "Y RNA (ENSCCAG00000011739.1)". It matches the Rfam family "Y RNA". Rfam says of the family: Y RNAs are components of the Ro ribonucleoprotein particle (Ro RNP), in association with Ro60 and La proteins. Lineage: Eukaryota; Metazoa; Chordata; Mammalia; Primates; Cebidae. The record is from Rfam by way of RNAcentral.